CAUGUCCUUUUGAUAAUGAUUUAAGGUCUAAUCUGCUCAAUGAAUAUUAAAUUGCCGCAGUAUUAUGACUGUGCAAAGGUAGCAUAAUAAUUAGUUUCUUAAUUAGGAACUGGAAUGAAUGAUUGGACAAGAAAAUUUCUGUCUCUUUUUCAAUAAUUUUUGAAUUUUAUUUUUAAGUGAAAAAGCUUAAAUUUUUAUAAAAGACGAGAAGACCCUAUAGAGUUUAAUAUUUUUAUUUAAUUAAAUUUUAGAAUAUUUUUUUAAAAAAGAUUAUUUGGUUGGGGUGAUUAUAAGAUAUAAUAAAUUCUUUAAAUUUUUAAUUAGUGAUUUCUAAACUUAGAAUCUAUAUUUUGUAAAGUUAAAACAAAUUACCUUAGGGAUAACAGCGUUAUUUUUCUUAAAAGUUCUUAUUAAAAGAAAAGUUUGCGACCUCGAUGUUGGAUUAAAAUUAAUUUUUGGUGCAAUAACUUAAAAAUUGGGUCUGUUCGACCUUUAAAAUUUUACAUGAUCUGAGUUUAAACCGGUGUAAACCAGGUUGGAUUCUAUCUUUAGUUUACUUUUAUAUUUUAGUACGAAAGGACCAAAUAUAAGUUUUAAAAAUUG
RNAcentral lists this ribosomal RNA (603 nucleotides) under Synchonnus chilvertonensis. RNAcentral's name for it is "partial 16S large subunit ribosomal RNA". It matches the Rfam family "Bacterial large subunit ribosomal RNA", at positions 1822 to 2714 of the family's 2925-position model. Lineage: Eukaryota; Metazoa; Arthropoda; Insecta; Coleoptera; Lycidae. The record is from RNAcentral.